AGCAUGGAAGAUAUGACAGCCAAUCCUUUUCAUUCAUUGUUUUAUCUUGUAUUUAUGCUAUCCGUUUGUGCACUUUUCUCCAAAUCCAUUGCCAAACAGAAAUGUAUGGCAUUGGAGAAUAACAUUUGAAGUUUAAUUUCUGUCAAGUUAUUGGAUUUUCAAUAGAUGUUUUUAUAAAAUUUGUGUGAGACUUAUGGACUCUUUUAUGAACAUUUUAUGGAUUGUUUAUUUAUUGUUUGAAAUUUUAGAUACGGACAUUUAUGAAGCAUGAUAUUUACUUAUUAUUAACUCGUUGUGGAAUUUUCAAUUUAAAUUAGAGUGAUUUUUUAUGUAUGAUGAGCAUUUUUUU
This is a long non-coding RNA of Cannabis sativa, 349 nucleotides long. RefSeq lists it as uncharacterized. Lineage: Eukaryota; Viridiplantae; Streptophyta; Magnoliopsida; Rosales; Cannabaceae. The transcript is spliced from 2 exons. The record is from RefSeq and is a predicted model, not a curated record.